This 3092-nucleotide long non-coding RNA is filed under the name Mytilus galloprovincialis (Mediterranean mussel). The record is from RNAcentral. Lineage: Eukaryota; Metazoa; Mollusca; Bivalvia; Mytilida; Mytilidae.
GUAAAUUUUGGCUCAAAAUGAUCUAGAUAUAUUUCUCUUUCGCCAAAAGUUGCAUUUCUGCAAAUUUGUUGGUUAGUUUAAGUAAACAAGGACAUCAAAAGCACUAUUUUGUGUCAGAGUAGGGCUACUUUUACAUACUUCUAAAUUGGAGGGAGUAAUUGGUGGUCUGACACCAAAAGACGUCCGGAUAUGUUUCCGUCAUUGGGCGAAAUUUAAGUCAGAUUAGACUUCCGGUUUGCGUUUUUCUAUAUACUUUGAACAUACAUUAAUACUACGAAUACAGUGUAUUUUCUGUCUUAUAUCCCUCAUUGGACGAAAUUUAAGUCAGAUAAGACCUCCAGUUUGCGUUUUUCUUUUUACUUUGAAACAAAUACAUAUACUACGAAUAAAGUGUAUUUUCUGUCUGAUAACAUUUUCAAGUUUACUAUCCACGGCAGUCACAGGGUUUAUUUAAUAGAGAGGGUCUGAAUAAUAUAUCAAUGACCGCUGUGGAUCAAUUAUUAAACUGAGAAUUGACUGUAAAAAGAAAAUACACUUUCGGGACGUCUGGAACGGGUGUUUUUAAGAUCGAAAUUUCAGGAUUGACCAUUUCGGGAUCCAGGAUUUCUUUUUUCGAAUUUCGGGAUGUCGAGAUAUAUAAUUUGUAUAAUAAAUUCAUAACCUCGGGAUUUCAUGUGUUCAAGCCCGGGAUAUUGGGAUCAGGGCCCCUACGCAGUGGCGGAUCCAGAAAUUUUCAUACGCAGAGGCCCGUUGACUGCCUAAGAGGGGCCCGCUCCGGUCAUGCUUCAGUGAUUCCCUAUAUAAGCAACCAAUUAUUUUCCAGAAAAGGGGGGGGGGGCGCCCCUAAAUCCGCCUCUGCCCCGACCCCCCUUUAAUGAAUGUUCAUAAUAUACAGAUAUGCGCUAAAAUUAUUCAUGUGUCAUUAAAAUUAAUAGAGAACAAACAAAAAAAAGGAUUUUUUUGUGGAAAAAGGAGGAGCCGGGCUAGAAAAACAAUUAUCCUGUCCCAAAUUACCUAUGACUGUUGAUACCUUUUCUGAAAUACUCAAGUCACUAAAUGUUUUACAAAAAAAAGAAGAUGUGGUAUGAAUGCCAAUGAGACAGCUCUCCACAAGAGACCAAAAUGACACCAAAAUUAACAUUUAAAGGUCACCUAACGGCCUUCAUCAAUAAGCAAAAGCCGAUACUGCAUAGUCUGAUAUAAAAGGCCCUGAAAUGACAAUGUAAAACAAUUCAAAUGAGAAAACUAACAGCCUUAUUUAUGUACAAAAAAUGAACGAAAAACAAAUAUCACUGAACCACUGAAUUACAGGCUCCUGACUGGAAUGUUCAUAAUACAUGUACACUAAAUGUAUGUUCAUAAUGAAAUUAAUAGAAAACAAAAAAUGUGAAUUUUGGAAAUAAAGGACCUAUGUAUUACAGACUAGGGGAAUAGCUCUGGUAGCAUGGAUGGAGGUGAUUACAUACGGACACAUAAAAACACAUCAGCUUCCAUUUCUACAUUUUAAUCAGACAAAGAAUGACGUCACAAACAUAAAUACAACAAGAUACUGGCAAAAGGGGAACAACUCUCUCUUUCACACAGAAACAUAAUCCGACCAUACAUACUGAUACAUAACAUCCCGCCCACAAAGCAAAAAUUUACUAAAUUUUUACAAUGGUCAAUAUGUUUAUGUGUAAAAAAAAUACAAUUAAUAAUAAUUUCCAAAAUUAAAAGUUCACAUGAAUAAAGUUAAUCUCUCAACACUCUAGUAACCAUUUUAAAACAAACGUAUCAACGCUGCAAACCCGAAAGUCUGGCAUCUCGGACUCCUCCCUCGGAUGACCUUAUGCACGCAUUACUUCCACACAACAAUUACAGUGAUACACAUAUUAAUGGCAUUUCCUACUAGACAAACAUAUAUCAUUAUAAAUAGCUGAAUACAAAUUUGAUAGUAUCAUCAGAGACCUUAAACUCUUAAAUUUAAUAAGGUUUUAUUUAUGAUAAAUAUCACACCGCUAAAUGAUAAACACAUUCACAUUAGCUUAAUUUCAAAGUAAACAAAUAACGUAGAUCAAAAUUAGCAUGAAAAGUAUCUGGUUUCAUAAAAUCAACAUGGUUAAAAAUAGAAUGUUCUCGUACAGAAUAAAUUCAUCAUCUUUUCUUUAAAAUAGGUCUUCUCGGAAAUCUGCAAAACCAUGGCGAUACAGUUAUCACCAAAACACAGUUAAUAUAAUUACGUUUUUAAAAGACGGAGUCAAAUAAAGGUUACGGCGGAAUGAACACAACAGCAAUACAGUCAACAUAUUACGCAAUACACAUCACACGUGUAGAAGGUUCAACGGAUAAAUCUGGGUCAACAGUUGUUAUGUAAAAUGUCUCUUCUGAUGAAAUCGGAACUUUAGACUAUGCAUGGCGAUACAGUUAUCACCGAUGCAAAUUGAAUAAUGUCAAAUGAAAAUAGCAUAUAUAUAAACAGGAUCCAAAUAUUACGGAAAUCGAAUAAUCAUGAUGCAAUGAGAUAAAUCUCACGUGCUUUCUGGUUAAAAACGGAAUACAUGUAGACAUUCAUAAAUAAUUCACAAAGUCAGUACGUACACGAGACGAGACAUGGUCUGUUCUUCUCUUCAAAAAUGCAAUUUAAAUGUUGGUACUAUAAUAAAAGUUCGGCUUAAUUUUUAAAAUCAAUAAAAAGUUAUCAGCAUCAUGGCGGAAUAACAGCUAGGAUCCAUCAGGAACAAUCGGUCAACUUUUUAAGUAAAAAUAUCCAAAAUCCAAUGAAAAAUUAAAAUCCAAAAUAUGUAUAAAUCAUUAUUCACGAUCGUUUCGGGUCCCCACCAUAUUACAGACUAGGGGAAUAGCUCUGGUAGCAUGGAUGGAGGUGAUUACAUACGGACACAUAAAAACACAUCAGCUUCCAUUUCUACAUUUUAAUCAGACAAAGAAUGACGUCACAAACAUAAAUACAACAAGAUACUGGCAAAAGGGGAACAACUCUCUCUUUCACACAGAAACAUAAUCCGACCAUACAUACUGAUACAUAACAUAUGACUUUUGAUACUUUUCCUGAAAUUCUCAAGUUAUUAAAUCUUUUACAAAAUUCUUCCUACAAC